Long non-coding RNA from Ictalurus punctatus (channel catfish), 2476 nucleotides. RefSeq lists it as uncharacterized. The transcript is spliced from 4 exons. Lineage: Eukaryota; Metazoa; Chordata; Actinopteri; Siluriformes; Ictaluridae. The record is from RefSeq and is a predicted model, not a curated record.
GAACAUGGAGGCUGAACAUGGAGGCAAUCCAAACACGAGCUAAACGUCAUGUUAUUUGGGCCACGUUUAUAUAAAAGUCUCCACACGAGACGUCAGGUGUGUUUUGUCUUGCUGUAGAUAAUUAUUCCUGUAAAGCAAAUGUCUUCAUUCGAGGCAGUGCCCGUGGCUUUAGAACUGAGACGUACAUACACCCUGUUACUAUUAAUAGGAGGCAAAGAAGGAAUGUCGCUAGUGUAAAGGAAGAUAAGCUUUAACAUACCUUCCAAUCGAGACGUGCAGGAACUUCUGUCCAAAUCGGACUUGACUUUCAAUUCGUGACUUUUCUUGUCUUCCGCAACUGGAAGUUAAAACCCCACCUACAGCGCUACCGCGUUCUCAUUGGAGCUCACUGAUACACGCUCACUGGACACUUUAUUAGGAACAGUACUGGGUACCUCAUAAUGGAGCUCACAAAAGAGAUAAGGCACAACAGUUAAGUAUACUGGAGCAGCAUGACUUCUGUUUUUUCAAUAAAAAAAAAAAACAACAAUAAAAAGAAGUUCACAUGCAUUUCCUUUUUAUUUACCCGAUUGACUAAAGUUUAGUUUUUCUGUAGUAUUGAUGACUGAAGUAGACUCCUUACCUUACAAGAGUUUGUAUGCCUCCAGACAGGUGCUGGCUCAAAUUUAGCCUAUUACCUGAAGACACUUAAACAUAGAAGCAAAUACUCACAUCUGCAAACCCAGUUGGAGAUAGAAAAAUAAGACACCAGCCGUGAGUGAGAAGAAGCAAGGUUCCAGAUUUAUUGGUUCUGUUCCACCACACGAGACCCACACCGAUGAGAAUUCUCAGAAGUGAUCUGACACCUGGAGCUCAAGCUCCAGUAUUUAUACUGUAUUUACACAGUAAAUAACCAAUAUAUUUGGGAAAGACUAUGAUAUCAAUACCAAUAGGGUUAAAAAGAGCUCAUCUACAUUACCAUGAUGUUUAAAAAAAGGCUUAUCAAAUUUACCAUGAUGUUUUGAAAGAGGACUUUCUGACUACCAUUAGGAUUGAAAGUGGGAGAGAGAGAAAACAAUUUAGAGAGACCUUGGUCUCACUAUUGUUGGCUCGAAUUUAGCCUAUUACCCAAAAACAUUUAAAAUUCAACUUAGAAGCCAAUACUCACAUCUACCUCUGAGAUAGAAAAAAUACACCAGCCGUGAGUGAGAAGAAGCAAGGGUCCAGCUUUAUUGUUCCAUUCCACCACACGAGAUCCACACCGAUGAGAAUUCUCAGAAGUGAUCCCAAUACCCUGAGCUUAAGCUCCAGUAUUUAUACUGUAUUUACACACUAGAUAACCCAUAGGUUUCCAGAAAAGGCCUAUUUCACUUACCCAUAGAAUUGAAACCAGGGGUUUUAAUUUACACAUAAAAUCAGAACCCAGGCAUUUCCAAAAACCCAGGAAACAAAAACCCAGAGUUUCUAGUUACCUAGGUUGUCAAAAACCAGGAUUCUCAUUUACCUAGGGGGUCAAAAACCAGGACUUUCAUUUACCUAGGUAGUCAGAAACCAGGAUUCUCAAUUCCCUAGGUAAAAAAAAUGACGUAGACAAGACGACUAAACAACCGGGAGGGACCUUGGUCUUAUCGUUAUCUCGAGGGGGGGCAGUUUGACCCAGCCACCCUUAUAACUGGCUCUCUUCAUGGUUCUCUAAAAAUUAAGGCUUUCCUUGCGAGACGAGAAUCUUCACCAUCUGAAUCAUGAGUGCCGGUGCCCGUCGUCAGUCCCUUCUCUCUCCGUUACUGGACCUGGAUCUGGAUCUGGACCUCCCUUAUGUUUAUUUUAUGACAUUUUUUAUCCACAACACUAUUAUCUCGCGGUUAGGGCAACUUGACUCAGCUACCCUUAUAAUUGGCUCUUCAUGGUUCUCUCUUAAAAUUAAGGCCCUCGUCUACACCACGCCUGACCCUUCCUUGGGAGACAAGAAUCUUCACCAUCUGAAUUAUGAGUGCCCGUCAUUUUUCCUUCUUUCCUUUAUUGGAGGGGCUGGAUUUGGAUCUGAACACUCUAUCAGAUUGCGCGUCUCACAGCUGACAUCGCUGUGUUACUUGACGUUCUUCACACUCCCUCUGGAAAUGGAAAUGCGGGGUUCCCCCCACCUCUCAGAUACAGAAUCCGCCCCGUGAAUGUGUGUAUUGACGCCUCUACACAGACAGACCCUCUGCCUGACCUUCCCUCCAGCUUUCAGUCUGAGGAUGAUAUCGCCUUCUCUGAUCUGGGCUCUGACCAUUCUUCCCUCUUCUCACCGGUCAGUCCGCCGUACUCUCAGUAUUCUCCUUAUUUCACCCUUGCUGUCCCAUGUUGUUAUCCCAUGUCCCCAGGACGCACCCCCUUUUAUCACCCGUUUUCUCCCUACCGCUCCCCUCAGGAUUAUACCCCCACCAGUCCUGUGAAUUUUCAAUAAAAUUACAUGGUGUUCAUACUUAUUUUGUGAACCUCAAUAAACUUACAUGUU